Molecule: non-coding RNA, 2722 nt
Organism: Physcomitrium patens
Lineage: Eukaryota; Viridiplantae; Streptophyta; Bryopsida; Funariales; Funariaceae
Source: RefSeq, a predicted model, not a curated record
AAGGACUUCACCAGAGAGUGACAGUGCCGGCUUCAUCGUCUAUCCUAGUCACCGUCUUCCUUUAGUCUGUUCGUGCAGAACUAAACCUGUGCCAUUCAGUCAUGCACCGUCCCCCUCCCCCACCCCCUCACAAACUCUCCGUCUCUCUCUCAACUUCGACCUCCACGUGCUCAUCAUGCCAACAUUUGUGGAAAAAGAGCAAAGGUUUUGAUGCAAUUCAAAAUAUGGUUUGGCAAUUUCAGAUGAAGCGGCCUCUCACAUGAUUCUGCCCACUUCCUAGAGCUUCGUCGAUUACCCGUCGCCACUCUGUGAGUCUCUAUAGAGUAAAUAAUUUCUACCGACACACCCAAAUUCUUCAAAAUUGGUGGAGACAAGUACGCAAGUUGAUGAUAGAGUGAGCGCUCAAAACUACCGUCACUUUGAUGCAUUACUAGUGCGCACGGAUGCGGAGCAACUCAAGGGACCAACCGGAGAGUGGAGGGUUGGUAAGAAUGGUGCGAAUACCUCAGCCCAAAGCAUUUCAGUAGCUGUUCUUUGUGUGGGGUGUCCCAAGUCUUUCUCUUGGGUAAGCGUCUUGAACAGGACCUCACGUUGACGGUGACCCUUUCUUCAAAUAUAUCCAGUUCAAAUGAUUGAUUCAAGCCAAGCCCAGAGCCUGUCUCGCAGACGAUAGUUAUUGGCAUCUAAAAUUGUCGGUUAGUGUUUCACACUUUUCAAUGGCUAACCCAAACUAAGUGUGAGUUGUUACCACACUAUCACAUGAUCAUGCAUUACCUUUCUACUGCUUCGACCUGGUUUUCAGAGCAGGCGCCACAGAUUCCGCAGCUUCGUUCAAUUCUGGAAGGGUUAAUAUCAAGCCCUGUUCAACACACAAGUUGUAAUCUAGUUCAUGUCCUCCAGAAAGAUCUGAUGUUGUAUAGCGUUUAGUUCUAUAACAGCAAUUCCAGUACUUGCGAAUCGCUAAAUGAAAGAUUACUGGAACUCUAGCUAGCUUUCAGUAGUAUGUGAUUACCACGGGAAGGGCAAAAUCUUCUAUCCUCUGCUUGAACUGCAACUCGACGUGGAGUACCUUAUGCUUUUAAGACAUGACUCGUGGAGUUGAUGGGUAUAUUAUCAAGUUUAAGCUGCCUUGAACUUAACUUAGUUAUGUGUCCUUGGUGUUUGAUCGCCUGCUGUAAACCCGCUGGCCAUUUUGCGCCGUGGCCAGAUGAUGAUUCUCAUGUGAGAUUUUCGAGCCUGAAGGUGAACCACUUGUCUUGAGAAUUUAGCCUUUCUCAAGUAGUGUGAAUAGACUUGUGCAUGGAAGUGAGAAAAUAUCCUGGUUCAGAUAUGUUAUAAAGAAAGACUUACUAAUUAUCUGCCAGAUCUGCUGCGCAAAUGAGAGCCGAACCAGGAAGUGCUAUGUUGUAGGCCUUGUAAUAUUGAUGAAGCCUUUACAGAUGCUCAGUCACUGUCCAGAUACUGAUGCCGAAAGUCUUUGUGGCAUCAAGAUGAUCGAAGGAUCCGACGACUGCUCAAGUGUGUCAGCCUCAAACCUUGUUGCUAGUUUAUCAGUGAACGCCCCCAACUGAUACGAUGAAUUGGACAGCCAUUGCAUAGUUGGCCCCUCUGAGAAUCAACUGAUAUCAAUUUGCAAUAGGCUUGACGUUCACUUUCUGCAGGUUGUUCAAAUGAUAUUUGCUUCGGUCUGCAGCAUCGGGUUCAAGACUGAAGUGCUGUUGCGGAGAACAUGGACUGAGAUCAUCAACUAGAAACCUCGGCGUGGAUCUCCUAAUUGGGUAUUGCAAUAACUCAUGGCUUGCAUUUGGUAGGAGUUCCUGAGGCGUCGCUUCAUCAAGAGUACUUCCUUCAAUGAGAUAUACCAGAUUCUGAGAUCUGCUGUAAAAAUCAACUAAAUCUUCUCUCAAUGCUCGGAUCAUUUGUAAAAGCAACUAUCAGUAGCCCACGAUCCACGGGCUAAAGAUAUAUUAUAUUUCUUGAGAUUUUUCAUAUUACGAUGAGGUUUUAUAAAACAUACACCUUAUCAAAAUAGACAGGUAAGAGACGCAUAUUCUCCACAGUAUCCGGUUUUACAACUCAUGAAACUUCCCUCAAGAUUUCUCCACAGUUGUUUCAGCUUCAAGCUGAAACCUGACGAACUGGACCAAGUGGUUGACAAACAGUAGUUACCAUGAGAUUGGCACCAAAUCUUGUGAACUCGGUAUUGGAGUAAUCGUAUCACGCUAUCAGUAAGAAUCCAGACCCAUGUCAUGCAAUGGUGCAUUGAACAUUGACACUGGGACAGAGUGGCAAAAGCAGAAAAGGUUUCGGAGACUGUCAGUGAUCUCGAGCAGGAAUUGAUCAUGGCAGAAUCUUGUUUAGUUUGAUUUGAAGAGAUCGAGGUGAAGCUUUUUCAGGUGUUCAGCGGCGUCAGAGAGUGUGGCAGUCGACAACUUUCUUUCUGUUGUUCUCAUUUGACUAAUUUUCCUAAGUAUAAAACCAACUAAGAAAGGCUUCUCAAUUUCAACCAACAACAAGAUUUGAAAGUAGUGGGCUCUCUCACCUUCUCUUGUCAGCAUAGAAACCCCAAAGAGUCAUGUGAUGGAUAAGAUGAUACUCUUCAGAUUUUGCCUGACUCUCUUUUUUUUUUCCUUCUUUUUCUUUUGUGAGGAGUUCAGGGGCCUUGGAUGCUCUGGUGUUACCGCUCAUAAUAAUAACAAUAAUAAUAAAAACAAUGCACCCA